Molecule: long non-coding RNA, 1593 nt
Organism: Schistocerca nitens (vagrant locust)
Lineage: Eukaryota; Metazoa; Arthropoda; Insecta; Orthoptera; Acrididae
Exons: 3
Source: RefSeq, a predicted model, not a curated record
CUGGAGAGAGAAGGUCGGGAUCUGCUGCUGAAUACACUUUGUGAGAACCAGCAGAUGCAGGCAUUACUGGAUGUCCUUGGACAGCUCAUCCAGAGUCAACGUGCAUUGCAAAACGAUGCGGCAGCCGCCGCUCACCGCUAACGCAGCCACAACACGCAGUUGCGCCGACCAUCAGACCUUUUGAUGCUGCACUGGAAAACUGGACGGAGUGGUCACGCCAAAUUGGAUUCCAUCUCGCAGCCUACAGAGUUCAAGGCACAUGACGUGGUUCACAGUGAAAACCCACUCCACACCUCUGCAGCACACCCAUGGAGCAGCCAACUUUGGCCAUUCUCUUUGUCGCCUCUAUCGGAGUGCAGAGGUACUAUGAACAGGGAAUUGCACUGUUUACUCGAACGGCAGACAUGUAACUGUAAACAAACACGAAAUUAGUUACGUAACUUUAAUUUUACUAAGUGAUAGUUAAAACUUUAUGAUUAACCCUCUUAUGUACCCCACUUUAUCUACGGCCCAAGCUGCUUCAUGGUCAUAAGAGACCUCUUUAGGAGUGGUGCAAAGUGGUCUAAGGUUAGGGUGACUGUAAGUGUGGUGGCACUGUUCGGAUCUUACACUGUGCUCGUUGCACAGGUGCCACUGUGACAUCUCAUAUCUUAUCUCACCUUCCAUUGCGGGUAGAAGUUACAUUCGUCAAAUUUUUAAUAAAAUGUAAAAUAGUGAAAAUUCGAGAUGCCUCGAGCUAGUGAUGAAUGCUUGCGUUAGAUACGUAUGCAAUAUACGGUUGUAUGAUCAUAUCAGUCCUUCAUACUCCCAGCUAGGUUGGAUACGCCCACAUAAGGCCUGCGAUCUCCACCCGAUGUGUUUACUUCAUCGAUUUCUUAGCCACUGGUGCCCCCAAUACUUAUCUUCUCACAUUAAACACCUAUCAUCAUUCCACAACCGCAAUACCAGAUCGGAUACGUCUAGCAUCUUGGCUGUAGCUUUACAUAACACAAAAUCUUUCUCCGUGUCAUUCUCCAUCUCAGCCAUACGACUAUGGAACGGGCUCCCCUGUGAUCUGCGUCUUAUCCAGAACCACUCAACAUUCAAGAGGGAACUCAAGACUUACAUAUUAGGGACGAUAUAGCCACCAUUGUUGUGCCCCUCUCAUCUCUUUCUUUCUCCUCUCCAUCAUAGCUUCGAAUUUUACCAUUCUUUUUCUCUUCCUCUAACCUAUCUACCUCUUCUAUAUCUCUUUCACCCCAUUCUAUCGUCUUAUGUCUCUGCUUGAUGAGAAUAACUCACAAGCUGCAAGAAUAUAACGAGAAAAUUCCCAACUAGCAAUAGGACUGACAUUCAUAAAAGAAAAAUAUGUUUAUUUUCAUAUACAUAGGCAUUACUAUUAUUAUUAUUAUUAUUGAUUAUUAUAAUUAUUUUUUGAUUGUUAUAAUUAUCAUUGUACUACAUUUAUAAUCUCUAAUUUUUUUCUUUAAAAUUAAUACUGUAUAACAUGUUAUAUGUCCUUAAUGUUCUGUAGAAACUGAAAUUUGUUGAAUCUGAAUAUGGCUGGUUAGGUGUAAGAGAGGGCCUGAAGGCCCUAAUCUUGCCAGAUAAAAU